This 444-nucleotide ribosomal RNA is filed under the name Coproecus hemisphaericus. Its description in RNAcentral is "partial 16S ribosomal RNA". Lineage: Eukaryota; Metazoa; Arthropoda; Insecta; Coleoptera; Scarabaeidae. The record is from RNAcentral.
CAUGUCUUUUUGAUUAUAAUUUAAAGUCUAAUCUGCCCUAUGAAAAAAUUUAAAUGGCCGCGGUAUUUUGACCGUGCAAAGGUAGCAUAAUAAUUAGUUUUUUAAUUAAGAACUGGUAUGAAUGAUUGGACAAGAAAAAUACUGUCUCAAUUUAAUUUUAUUAGAAUUUUAUAUUUAAGUUAAAAAGCUUAAAUAUUUUUAAAAGACGAGAAGACCCUAUAGAGUUUAAUAUUAAAUAAAAUAAUUAUAAAAUUUAAAGUAUAAAUUUAUUUAUUUUAUUUAAUAUUUAGUUGGGGUGAUUGAAAAAUUAAAAAAACUUUUUUUAAAAAAUAACAUUAAUUUAUGAAUAAAUGAUCCAUAAUUUAUGAUUAUAAGAUUAAAUUACCUUAGGGAUAACAGCGUUAUUUUUUUUGAGAGUUCUUAUCGAAAAAAAAGUUUGCGACC